Molecule: non-coding RNA, 73 nt
Organism: Stegodyphus mimosarum
Lineage: Eukaryota; Metazoa; Arthropoda; Arachnida; Araneae; Eresidae
Source: Rfam
GUCUUCAUGGUGUAGUGGUCAGCACGCUCGAAGCGUAUUCGAGAGGUCCGUGGUUCGAGUCCCGGCGAGGGCA